Molecule: long non-coding RNA, 292 nt
Organism: Daphnia pulicaria
Lineage: Eukaryota; Metazoa; Arthropoda; Branchiopoda; Diplostraca; Daphniidae
Exons: 2
Source: RefSeq, a predicted model, not a curated record
UACGUACUUAGCUUGUUCAACUUCUACAGUUUUAUAGGUUGACUUUAUUUCAACUGUUGCCGGUUCGCUGGUUUCGGUCUUAGCAUAUCCCAAGUUGUAUCCUGGAGCUCGAACAGAUCCGUAUUUCUUUCCCGGGGUUUUAACUUCAUAAGUUGAAGGAGCGACGUAGGUAGGAGCGACAUAGGCUGGGGCUUUGUAGACUGGAGCAGCGGUGGUUGGUGCCACGUAAACGGGGGCAGCAGUUGUAGGAGCAACAUAAACGGGUGCAGCGGUGGUUGGUGCAACGUAGACU